RNAcentral lists this ribosomal RNA (465 nucleotides) under Vreelandella stevensii. RNAcentral's name for it is "partial 16S ribosomal RNA". It matches the Rfam family "Bacterial small subunit ribosomal RNA", at positions 338 to 795 of the family's 1533-position model. The record is from RNAcentral. Lineage: Bacteria; Pseudomonadati; Pseudomonadota; Gammaproteobacteria; Oceanospirillales; Halomonadaceae.
CCUACGGGUGGCUGCAGUGGGGAAUAUUGGACAAUGGGGGGAACCCUGAUCCAGCCAUGCCGCGUGUGUGAAGAAGGCCCUCGGGUUGUAAAGCACUUUCAGUGAGGAAGAACGCCUGGUGGUUAAUACCCAUCAGGAAAGACAUCACUCACAGAAGAAGCACCGGCUAACUCCGUGCCAGCAGCCGCGGUAAUACGGAGGGUGCGAGCGUUAAUCGGAAUUACUGGGCGUAAAGCGCGCGUAGGUGGCUUGAUAAGCCGGUUGUGAAAGCCCCGGGCUCAACCUGGGAACGGCAUCCGGAACUGUCAAGCUAGAGUGCAGGAGAGGAAGGUAGAAUUCCCGGUGGAGCGGUGAAAUGCGUAGAGAUCGGGAGGAAUACCAGUGGCGAAGGCGGCCUUCUGGACUGACACUGACACUGAGGUGUGAAAGCGUGGGUAGCAAACAGGAUUAGAUACCCGAGUAGUC